GGUGGCAUGUUUCACUAUGGGAAAGAAAUCAGAUUUUGCUGGGUCUUUUUUUGAGAUGGGAAAACGAUCGAAAGGAGCAGGAGACACUUGAGAGGCAGACGGCAUCGUGAAUAGGACCCAUAAAAAUCCAGUUAAGUUGACGCUGAAACUAUGUGACAACAUAGGCGUUGUCCACCCCGGCAGUCAGAGGGUGGAGGAUGUCUGCAAGGAAAGAUAACCAAGAAAAUAACAGAUAGAGAUGUUUUUCUGUUUUUCUGUAACUGUGAUAUCUUCUAGUCAGAGAAGCACUCAUACUCUGUACAUGCCUAAAUGCUUAGCUUCUUAUUGGUUGUUGCAUUUUCAGAACUGUAUUAUGAUUGGUGAGAAAGUUCUGCCAUGGUAUCUAAGGGGAACUGACUCUAUAAAUAUGUUGACAUUUCCUGAAAUUAUUGGGCAGUUUCCUCAGACUGCCACCUUGCAGCGCUGCUCGUAAUAAACCUUCUAAAGAGAGAGAAA
Elgaria multicarinata webbii is the source of this 495-nucleotide long non-coding RNA. RefSeq lists it as uncharacterized. The transcript is spliced from 2 exons. Lineage: Eukaryota; Metazoa; Chordata; Lepidosauria; Squamata; Anguidae. The record is from RefSeq and is a predicted model, not a curated record.